Molecule: non-coding RNA, 106 nt
Organism: Aulographum hederae CBS 113979
Lineage: Eukaryota; Fungi; Ascomycota; Dothideomycetes; Aulographales; Aulographaceae
Source: the annotation of a GenBank genome assembly
GCUUCCUUGGUCUAGUCGGUUAUGACGUCGGUCUCAUACUUCUCCUGCAUGAUUUAGCUUUGCUAAAGCCAUCCGAAGGUCGCCAGUUCGAUUCUGGCAGGGAGCA